AGUCCCGUUGUGCAGCGAUUAACACUUUGGACUUUGAAUCCAGUAACGGGAGUUCGAAUCUCCCCAGAACCU
Molecule: non-coding RNA, 72 nt
Organism: Parelaphostrongylus tenuis
Lineage: Eukaryota; Metazoa; Nematoda; Chromadorea; Rhabditida; Metastrongylidae
Source: the annotation of a GenBank genome assembly